UACUGAUCGAAUAAUGAUGAUGAUCUAACUAGAAGCCCAAGCCUGCAAAUUUUCAUGAUUCAUCAAACGGAUCUCCGGCGGGGUUGAACGGCAGCAGUGAUUCGCGUCAGAGUUUCAAGUUUCAACCGAGGUAUAGCGACCGGCUUUCGAUUCUUUGCUUAGAGAUACCGAUUAGUUGAAAUUCCACACGUUUUGAUCUCAUCUCGCGGCUGCGAAUAUCAAGAUGGUGCAUGAAAUAACUGAGCAACAAAGUAGGCAUAAUUUUUCCUUGAAUAAAUUUGAAAUUUCUUGUGUAAAGAUUGUUGAGUGACUUGAUUGAUUCUCUCAUUGAUGUUAGUAGCUAAUAAUUCCACACCAUGGUUUCGUCGCUUGAACCCAAUAAUUUUUCUUGUGUAAAAUUGAAAUAUCUAUCUUGAGUUUGUUUUGUAAAGAUUUUUGACUAAUAGGGUUUAUUCUCACAUCGAUGUUAAUGAUUAUUAGUUCACUUGUAUCGUUGUUAUUCUGCCAAUGCUUCCUUGUUUGAACCUAAUACAUUUUUCGAGAAGACGAACGCACUCUUUCUAGAAACCGAAGAAAUUCAAGCUUUAGAGAAAACACAUACUCGGUAUUUUGUUGAUUUACAUCCACUAACAUGUCUUUUCGGUUUGCUGUAAGGUUUACAAACUGACACUCAGCAUAUUAAAUAAGUUCUCUGUUACAACUGAAGUGUUCAACCUUUGGUUCCAUUUGUUGCAACAAGUUAGAAAGAGUGGUCAACGGGCUAAUUUUAAGCGGUCGGUACUUCUCUAUUUGCUUCGACCUCUUUUCCUCACACCAUGCAAGCCUUAGGCAUUGUAUCAUUUCUUUUAUGAUGAACUUUUCACCUCGGACAUCAUCUUGUUGUUGACUUUAUAAGUGAUAUGACUCAUAUGAGUGCUACGGGGAUCAUGAUAAGAAAGUGUGCUGCUUGGGCCUUACGUCACUACUUGCACUUCCCGAAGAACAAUUGGCUGGGGAGGCUCUUGGGCGCGUGUUCAAGGCCACCCUGGAUCUACUAGUUGCAUAUAAGGAUAAAGUUGCAGCAGCUGCAAAUGAGGAAGAGGCUGAAGAUGAUGAUAUGGAUGGUUUCCAGACUGAUGAUGACGAUGAUGCUAAUGCUUCUGACAAGGAAAUGGGAACCGAUGCAGAGGAUGAGGAUGAAGCUGAUAACAUCAGGCUUCAAAAAUUAGCUGCCCAGGCUAAGGCUUUCCGUCAGAUGAUGACUUUAGUGAUGACAAAGAGCUACAGUCACCCAUUGAUGAAGUAGACCCUUUCGUUUUCUUCGUUGAUACUGUGAAAGUUUUGCAAGCAUCGGAUCCUAUGAGGUUCCAAAACCCUUACACAGACGCUGGAUUUCCAUUGUCAAUCUCUUGCAAACAGUCCUAUCAAAAAAAAAAAUCUCUUGCAAACAGUAUUGCUCUGCAUGCUGAACAGAGGAGAGCAGAGAUUGAAAAGGAGAAAAUGGAGAAGGCAUCAGCCGCCGCUGCUCCAUCGUGAGCUCAGAUUCAGAUUGAAUUUUCUGGUUUGCCCUACGAGUCAUCAGGUCUGUGAAGAGCUCUUCAAGAGAAGUUAACAACAUAUAAACACAAACGGAAAGCAUAAAGUUCAAAAGGACUACUUAACAACUGUUACCAAAUGACAAACAUAAUUGUACUCAGGGCCAAAGCUAGAAAAUUUACACUAAGUUGUCAGAAUUUAGAAAAUUAAUGCAUAAGACUCUUUUAAAGUGGUGCCAAUUUUAUUCUUAAUAUUUUUUA
Molecule: long non-coding RNA, 1775 nt
Organism: Hibiscus syriacus
Lineage: Eukaryota; Viridiplantae; Streptophyta; Magnoliopsida; Malvales; Malvaceae
Exons: 6
Source: RefSeq, a predicted model, not a curated record